AGCGAAACUGCGAAUGGCUCAUUAAAUCAGUUAUCGUUUAUUUGAUAGUGCCUUCUUACUCGGAUAACCGUGGUAAUUCUAGAGCUAAUACGUGCUUCAAGUCCCGACUUCUGAAGGGACGUGUUUAUUAGAUUCAAAGCCAAUGCCUUUCGGGGCUCGCUGGUGAUUCAUGAUAACCUUUCGAAUCGCACGGCCUUGCGCCGGCGAUGGUUCAUUCAAAUUUCUGCCCUAUCAACUUUCGAUGGCUGGGUAGUGGCCAGCCAUGGUGACAACGGGUAACGGAGGGUUAGGGCUCGACCCCGGAGAAGAAGCCAGAGUAACGGCUUCUACAUCCAUGGAAGGCAGCAGGCGCGCAAAUUACCCAAUCCCGACACGGGGAGGUAGUGACAAUAAAUACUGAUACAGGGCUCUUUAGGGUCUUGUAAUUGGAAUGAGUACAAUUUAAAUCCCUUAACGAGGAACAAUUGGAGGGCAAGUCUGGUGCCAGCAGCCGCGGUAAUUCCAGCUCCAAUAGCGUAUAUUAAAGUUGUUGCGGUUAAAAAGCUCGUAGUUGAACCUCGGGCCUGGCCGGCCGGUCCGCCUCACCGCGUGCACUGGCUUGGCUGGGCCUUUCCCGCUGGGGAACCACAUGCCCUUCACUGGGUGUGUUGGGGAACCAGGACUUUUACUUUGAAUAAAUCAGAUCGCUCCAAGAAGGCCUUCGCUCGGAUGCAUUAGCAUGGAAUAAUGGAAUAGGACGUGCGGUUCUAUUUCGUUGGUUUCUAGGACCGCCGUAAUGAUUAAGAGGGACAGUCGGGGGCAUCAGUAUUCAGUUGUCAGAGGUGAAAUUCUUGGAUCUACUGAAGACUAACUACUGCGAAAGCAUUUGCCAAGGAUGUUUUCAUUAAUCAGGAACGAAAGUUGGGGGAUCGAAGACGAUCAGAUACCGUCGUAGUCUCAACCAUAAACCAUGCCGACUAGGGAUCGGACGAUGCUAUCCUAUGGCUCGUUCGGCACCUUACGCGAAAGCAAAGUUUU
RNAcentral lists this ribosomal RNA (1017 nucleotides) under Asteridiella obesa. RNAcentral describes it as "SSU rRNA". It matches the Rfam family "Eukaryotic small subunit ribosomal RNA", at positions 80 to 1107 of the family's 1831-position model. Lineage: Eukaryota; Fungi; Ascomycota; Sordariomycetes; Meliolales; Meliolaceae. The record is from RNAcentral.